AACGCACCUUGCGCUCCUUGGUAUUCCGAGGAGCAUGCCUGUUUGAGUGUCUUGAAGUCAUCAACCCCCUCCCGUUUUGCGACGGGUCCGGGUUGGAGCCUGGGGGAUUGCGGCCGCGAGGCCGCUCCCCUCAAAUGCAUCGGUUGGGCCUGCGGGUCGGACUCGGUUGGGCGUUGUACCAUCCUCGCUCUUAUCCCGAGAUGUUCCCCUAUUAAUGUGCCCUCCCACGACCGCCCCGUUCUGGAGUCGGUGGUCAAGCUUUUGAAGCACUUUGAAAUCUGACCUCAAAUCAGGUAGGACUACCCGCUGAACUUAA
Molecule: ribosomal RNA, 316 nt
Filed under: uncultured fungus
Lineage: Eukaryota; Fungi
Description: eukaryotic LSU rRNA
Rfam family: 5.8S ribosomal RNA (bases 1-52)
Source: RNAcentral